AUUAAAGAAAGCAGACAUGUUGUUUCUUCUGUCUCAUGUUUUGAAAAAGAAUUAAAUAAUGGAGUUAUUUGUAUAAUGCAGUAAAUCACUCAAUGGAGAGACAGGUUUUGUGAAGAUGUAUUGUUGUGUAUUGUAACUUGUGUGUGAUCAAGUCCAUAAUAUGGUCACUAUUCUGUUGACAGUUUAACAGUACUUCAUUCACAGUUUUGGCUGAGAUAAUGUCAUGCAUAGUCAUAUAGACUAUUUAGACAAUAUAGAGAUGUGAAUAUAUAGAAUGUGAUACAAUUGAUAAAUAAUUAAAAAGGACAU
Mercenaria mercenaria is the source of this 309-nucleotide long non-coding RNA. RefSeq lists it as uncharacterized. NCBI's taxonomy places the organism in Eukaryota, Metazoa, Mollusca, Bivalvia, Venerida, Veneridae. The record is from RefSeq and is a predicted model, not a curated record. The transcript has 3 exons.